RNAcentral lists this ribosomal RNA (464 nucleotides) under uncultured bacterium. Its description in RNAcentral is "SSU rRNA". It matches the Rfam family "Bacterial small subunit ribosomal RNA", at positions 26 to 518 of the family's 1533-position model. The record is from RNAcentral.
AGAACGAACGCUGGCGGCAUGCCUAACACAUGCAAGUCGAACGCUUUUGGGGCUUCGGUCCCAAAGGAGUGGCGCACGGGUGAGUAGCGCGUGGGAACCUGCCCUGUUGUGGGGGAUAACCGAGGGAAACUUCGGCUAAUACCGCAUACGCCCGGGGGAAACUCCGGGGAAAGAUUUAUCGCAGCAGGAGGGGCCCGCGUCGGAUUAGGUAGUUGGUGGGGUAACGGCCCACCAAGCCUGUGAUCCGUAGCUGGUCUGAGAGGAUGAUCAGCCACACUGGGACUGAGACACGGCCCAGACUCCUACGGGAGGCAGCAGUGGGGAAUAUUGGACAAUGGGCGCAAGCCUGAUCCAGCAAUGCCGCGUGAGUGAUGAAGGCCUUCGGGUUGUAAAGCUCUUUCAGUGGGGAAGAUAAUGACGGUACCCACAGAAGAAGCCCCGGCUAACUUCGUGCCAGCAGCCGC